GGUUUUUAUAAAUUAAUUGUCUCUACCUUAUAAAUAAAAAUUAAUUUUUAAGUGAAAAAGCUUAGAUUAAGUUAAAAGACAAGAAGACCCUAUCGAGCUUUAUAUAAAAGGAAAUUUAAAAAUAAAUUUAAUUUUUGGAAUAUUUAGUUGGGGCAACUAUGGAAAUUAUAAAAAUUCCUAAAUAAAACUGAUUGAUAAAUAAAAAGAGCCCGUUAAGGAGUGAUAAAUAAGUUACCGUAGGGAUAACAGGCUUAACUUUUUCUGAUAGUUCAAAUUGAAGAGGAAAGUUGGUACCUCGAUGUUGGCUUAAAAUUUCCUUUAGGUGUAGAAGCUUAAAUAGGAUGGUUUGUUCAACCAUUAAAAUUUU
Molecule: ribosomal RNA, 367 nt
Filed under: Antonbruunia sociabilis
Lineage: Eukaryota; Metazoa; Annelida; Polychaeta; Phyllodocida; Antonbruunidae
Description: partial 16S ribosomal RNA
Rfam family: Bacterial large subunit ribosomal RNA (bases 47-367)
Source: RNAcentral